CGGCGAGUGAAGCGGCAAGAGCUCAAAUUUGAAAUCUGGCCCUUCCGGGGUCCGAGUUGUAAUUUGUAGAGGAUGCUUCGGGUGCGGCCCCCGUCGAAGUGCCCUGGAACGGGCCGUCGGAGAGGGUGAGAAUCCCGUCUGGGACGGGGUGUCCGUGCCCGUGUGAAGCUCCCUCGACGAGUCGAGUUGUUUGGGAAUGCAGCUCUAAGUGGGUGGUAAAUUUCAUCUAAAGCUAAAUACCGGCCGGAGACCGAUAGCGCACAAGUAGAGUGAUCGAAAGAUGAAAAGCACCUUGAAAAGGGAGUUAAACAGCACGUGAAAUUGUUGAAAGGGAAGCGCUGACGACCAGACUCGGCCGCGGGGUUCAGCCGGCAUUCGUGCCGGUGUACUUCCCCGCGGCCGGGCCAGCGUCGGUUUGGGCGGUCGGUCAAAGGCCCCCGGAAUGUAGCGCCCCUCGGGGCGCCUUAUAGCCGGGGGUGCAAUGCGGCCUGCCUAGACCGAGGAACGCGCUCGGCUCG
This 518-nucleotide ribosomal RNA is filed under the name Aspergillus salinarum. Its description in RNAcentral is "LSU rRNA". It matches the Rfam family "Eukaryotic large subunit ribosomal RNA", at positions 87 to 608 of the family's 3401-position model. Lineage: Eukaryota; Fungi; Ascomycota; Eurotiomycetes; Eurotiales; Aspergillaceae. The record is from RNAcentral.